This 401-nucleotide ribosomal RNA is filed under the name Kappaphycus alvarezii. RNAcentral describes it as "partial 23S ribosomal RNA". It matches the Rfam family "Bacterial large subunit ribosomal RNA", at positions 2083 to 2481 of the family's 2925-position model. Lineage: Eukaryota; Rhodophyta; Florideophyceae; Gigartinales; Solieriaceae. The record is from RNAcentral.
GAAAGACCCUAUGAAGCUUUACUGUAACUUGGAAUUGAAGUUGGGUUUACUUUGUGCAGAAUAGGUGGGAGGCUAAGAUAAUAUAUUUGAGGAUAUAUAGGAGCCGUCAGUGAGAUACCACUCUAAGUACACUAGGCUUCUAACCUUGAAAGCCGUUAACCGGCCAAGGAACAGUUUCAGGCGGGCAGUUUGACUGGGGCGGUCGCCUCCUAAAAGGUAACGGAGGCGUACAAAGGUUUUCUCAAGCUGGUCAGAAAUCAGUUUUAGAGUAUAAAGGCAAAAGAAAGCUUGACUGCAAGACCUACAAGUCGAGCAGAGACGAAAGUCGGUCUUAGUGAUCCGACAGUUCUGAGUGGAAAGGCUGUCGCUCAACGGAUAAAAGUUACUCUAGGGAUAACAGG